GUGAUGCGCCGCCCCACCGCUGCGCUCUUCGGAGCGGAGAGGAAAGUCCGGGCAACGCAGAGCACCCUGCUUCCUAACGGGAAGGACGGCGGCUGGGAACGGCCGCCGGACAGCCAGUGCCACAGAAAACUACCGCCAGGUUUUAGUGCUUAGAACAUGGUGCCUAGUGCUUAGCUCGUUCUAUGCACCAAGCACUAUCCCCUAAGCACCAAACUUGGUAAGGGUGAAAAGGUGCGGUAAGAGCGCACCAGCGGGCGGGCGACCGUUCCGGCUGGGUAAACCUCAGGGGUUGAAAGGCCAAAUAGGCCGGCAGGCAAGGCCGCAAGGCGUUGCACCAGGCGGCUCGUCUGGUGUCGGCGGGUAGGCUGAUGGAGCCCGCGCGCGAGUACGGGCCUAGAUAAAUGGUGGGGCCGCGCUUUCGGGCGCGGACAAAACCCGGCUUACAGGCGCAUCACCGAA
RNAcentral lists this RNase P RNA (459 nucleotides) under Hymenobacter busanensis. RNAcentral describes it as "Hymenobacter sp. M3 RNase P RNA component class A". It matches the Rfam family "Bacterial RNase P class A". From Rfam's summary of the family: Ribonuclease P (RNase P) is a ubiquitous endoribonuclease, found in archaea, bacteria and eukarya as well as chloroplasts and mitochondria. Its best characterised activity is the generation of mature 5'-ends of tRNAs by cleaving the 5'-leader elements of precursor-tRNAs. Lineage: Bacteria; Pseudomonadati; Bacteroidota; Cytophagia; Cytophagales; Hymenobacteraceae. The record is from RNAcentral.